Molecule: transfer RNA, 67 nt
Filed under: Mangrovimonas sp. DI 80
Lineage: Bacteria; Pseudomonadati; Bacteroidota; Flavobacteriia; Flavobacteriales; Flavobacteriaceae
Rfam family: tRNA
About the family: Transfer RNA (tRNA) molecules are approximately 80 nucleotides in length. Their secondary structure includes four short double-helical elements and three loops (D, anti-codon, and T loops).
Source: Rfam by way of RNAcentral
GGUUGGAAAUUAAAAAAACUUCGGACUCAUAACCCGAAGGUCACUGGUUCGAGUCCAGUUCCCGCUA